RNAcentral lists this ribosomal RNA (468 nucleotides) under uncultured bacterium. RNAcentral describes it as "partial 16S ribosomal RNA". It matches the Rfam family "Bacterial small subunit ribosomal RNA", at positions 28 to 507 of the family's 1533-position model. The record is from RNAcentral.
GACGAACGCUGGCGGCGUGCUUAACACAUGCAAGUCGAACGGAAAGGCCCUGCUUUUGUGGGGUGCUCGAGUGGCGAACGGGUGAGUAACACGUGAGUAACCUGCCCUUGACUUUGGGAUAACUUCAGGAAACUGGGGCUAAUACCGGAUAGGAGCUCCUGCUGCAUGGUGGGGGUUGGACAGUUUCGGCGGUUGGGGAUGGACUCGCGGCUUAUCAGCUUGUUGGUGGGGUAGUGGCUUACCAAGGCUUUGACGGGUAGCCGGCCUGAGAGGGUGACCGGCCACAUUGGGAAUGAGAUACGGCCCAGACUCCUACGGGAGGCAGCAGUGGGGAAUAUUGCACAAUGGGCGGAAGCCUGAUGCAGCAACGCCGCGUGCGGGAUGACGGCCUUCGGGUUGUAAACCGCUUUCGCCUGUGACGAAGCGUGAGUGACGGUAAUGGGUAAAGAAGCACCGGCUAACUACGUG